AACGAACGCUGGCGGCAGGCUUAACACAUGCAAGUCGAACGGUUGUAGCAACACAGCAGUGGCAGACGGGUGAGUAACACGUGGGAACCUUCCUAGGGGGUACGGAACAACUCAGGGAAACUUGAGCUAAUACCGUAUACGUCCGUGAGGAGAAAGAUUUAUCGCCCUUAGACGGGCCCGCGUCGGAUUAGCUAGUUGGUGGGUAACGGCCUACCAAGGCGACGAUCCGUAGCUGAUCUUAGAGGAUGAUCAGCCACACUGGGACUGAGACACGGCCCAGACUCCUACGGGAGGCAGCAGUGGGGAAUCUUGGACAAUGGGCGCAAGCCUGAUCCAGCCAUGCCGCGUGAGUGAAGAAGGUCUUCGGAUUGUAAAGCUCUUUUGCCAGGGACGAUAAUGACGGUACCUGGAGAAUAAGCCCCGGCAAACUUCGUGCCAGCAGCCGCGGUAAU
This 452-nucleotide ribosomal RNA is filed under the name uncultured bacterium. RNAcentral describes it as "bacterial SSU rRNA". It matches the Rfam family "Bacterial small subunit ribosomal RNA", at positions 29 to 524 of the family's 1533-position model. The record is from RNAcentral.